RNA transcript from Talpa occidentalis (Iberian mole), 4267 nucleotides. It is a transcript of the gene named putative ankyrin repeat domain-containing protein 19, with no coding region annotated. The transcript is spliced from 19 exons. NCBI's taxonomy places the organism in Eukaryota, Metazoa, Chordata, Mammalia, Eulipotyphla, Talpidae. The record is from RefSeq and is a predicted model, not a curated record.
CGCGCCCGCCCGUGGGGGAGAACAGCCCCGCCGGCGCUCGCGCCCUUUGCGUCCACUCAGCACUACCUUUACUGACAAUUUUAGAAAGAUGCAGCUAGUAUCAGUUAGAAGAGUCGUGUGCAACAGUUUAUUUUUGCUGUUUGCUUUUUCAUGCCAGAAUAUUCCAUACUGUAGAAAAGCGCAGAAUGAGAGCGACUGUUCCCAUCCUCGAGCAACGCCCAGGCUAGAUGCGCUUCGGAUGAACUCCAGGACCCACCUGGUGUCAGCCUGUACCUAUUUCUAUGUGUUCUUAUGGAGCGACCUUAAAGGGAAACUUUGAAGGGGGAAGAUGGCCCUGGCUUCUUGAACAGAAAAUGUCAUUUUCUCUAAGUGCGAGUUCUUCCUGGUAUUUAUCAAUUUUAUAUAAACCCAACAAAAAAAUUAAGGUUUUAAAAAAUUUGAGUUACAUGUGCUGUCUUUUACUGUUGUGAUGAAACUUACAAAAGUUUUGUAAGGUAGACAGAAGCUUGCCUUCUGGAUAUCAAAAUGUGGUAUAAAUUUCCACUGACUAGUAAUUAGUUCACAACUGAAAAUACACAUAAAUAAAUGGAACAGUAUAGAAGAUGCCCAAAAAUCCAAAUGCAUCUGAAUUUACUGGUGAAAUAUUAUAAUGGUGAAAUACCAGCUAAUUGUGUUUGGAAGAAACUAACUAGAUUUUUUCAAUCUCAUAAAAAUAAGUUCUAGAUCAAAUAGAAAUUAAAAAUGUUAAAUAUACAAAAUGAGAAAAGCACCAGAAGGAAACACAAUGUGUAUUUGUUCAUUUUUUAUGUUGUCCAGGACCUUCCUAAGAAUGACUUCAAGAGGAAGAAGUUUGAUUCAGUAACAUAAAAAAAAUAAAGCUCUCUGUAUAUCAAAUCAUAUUAACCAAAUAAAAAUGUCUACAGCAUAUAUGUAUCAGAUGAAAAAUAUGUCUUCAUUUUAAAGAAUUCUUUGAAAUCAACAAGAAGGAAACUAAUGUGAAGAUUGGGCAGAUCUAUUUUUGCAUAUCUGGUCACAAGUGGACAUGGGAAAAAAUAUUUAGUGUCCCAGGACUGCUCUCCAUUUGGCCUGUGCCAAUGGCCAUCAAGAAGUGGUAACUCUCCUCGUAGAGAGAAAAUGCCAGCUUAACCUCUGUCAGUGAAAACAGGACAUCCAUGAUGAAGGCAGUACAAUGCCAGCAAGAGGAGUGUGCAGCCAUUCUGCUGGAGCAUGGCGCUGAUCCAGACCUCGUGGACACCGACGGCAACACUCCUCUGUACUAUGCUGUGUGGGGUCACAAUGCAGCCAUCGUAGCCAAGCUGCUGGGACACAACGCAGAUGUUGAAGCCAGAAACAAGGAUGACCUCACACCACUUUUACUUGCUUUAAGUGAAAACAAACAGCAAAUGGUAGAAUUGUUGGGAAGGAGGGAAGGAAAUAGACAUGCUGUAGAUAACAUUAUAAGCAAUCAUCAACUAAUUUCUCAAUAUGAAGUAGAAGAGACUUCAUUCUUCUCCAGCAAUUAGCAAUGCAGUGGAUGAGAGUUCUGAAGAAGAUUCUUUAAGCAGGCUUUCCAGCAAACCUGGCAUUGAUUCAUGGCCUACAUCAGACGAUGAAGACUUAGAACCAAGACUGUCCCGAAACUGAACUUUGCCAAGCUAAUGACUGCUUCUCAGCAAUGCAGGAAAAACAUACAAGCCAAAUGUGCCAUCAUGAGACCAGAAAGUAGAUGCUUAUUUGAAAAUAACAAUUCUGAGAGUGAAAAUGAAGAUGUAGUUGAAACCCUUUCUAAGCCAUCAAUGAAAGUCCAGGACUUUUCUCAUCCUGCCUUUCCAUCACCUGAGCCUCUCAAGUCUUUAGCAAUCCUGGAUCAUACAAAAGAAGAAGCAACAAAGCCAGCAGUUGGAAAUGAAGAAAAGGGUAAUGAUAUUAUUGAUAUUGCUCCACAAGAGCACAUAAAUAAUUACAAGUUGGCUUAUGUUGAUGGACCACACAAAAAUAAUAGAAGUGAUAUGAUGUCAGCAUUAGGAUUAGGAGAAGAGGAAGAUACAGAAUCACCUUGGGAUUCCGAGUAGUAAUCCUGGCUUGCCUAUGAAAGAAGCAAAGAAAAAUGAAAAUAACAAAUGGACAGUCAAAGCAUCUGUGACUAUAUCCAUGUUUGAGAAGGCUGGUUCCCUAACUGGUGGUGCGCUUCAAGUGAAUGAUGACAGCAGCUUAAGUGAAGUAGAUCAGAAUGAUGGAAGGUCAAGAAGCAAAUUAAUUCUGUGGAUAACCUGAAGAUAGUGAAUUACCUUACUCUAAUUAUAAGAAUUCUAUGUUGCUUAUUGAACAGCUUAGCAUAGAUUGUAAAGAUUCUGUGAGCUUAUUGAAAAUCCCGGAUGCACAUCUUUCAUAUGAAAAAAAAAUCAGUCACUUGCUUUCAGGAAAAAUUAAAAAAAAAUGAAAAAUAAGGUUAGUGGGCUACAAAAGGAGCUCUCAGAAACCAAAGAAAUGAAAUCCCAGUUAGAGCAUCAAAAAGUGGAAUGGAAACGGGAACUCUGCAGUUUGAGAAUGGAUGCACACCACUCUUAUAUGCUGCAAGGGAAAAAAAAACAAAAAAUAAUAGAGUUUUUGUUAAACAAGGGAGCGGAUAUAAAUGCUGUUGAUAACUUUGGAAGCUCAGCCCUCGCGCAUGCUGCAUGUUAUGAUUCAGCAGAUACUGUUCAUGUUCUCCUCCGGCAUGGCAUUGAUUGCUCUUCUGAAGAUGUAUUUGGAAGGGCUGCUGACCAGUUUGCCCAUCAUCGUGGCUUUAUUAAGAAUCAGAAAAUUAUACUUGCCUAUAAAAGUAAAAAGGACAAAGAGAACAAAAAGAAUGAAAAGAACAGAAAAGAAGAAAAGAAGAAAAACGAUAAAAAGAAGGAAGAGAAUGAUCUAGCAAAAAUGAAUGCUCACAAGGAUACUGAAAAGAGGCGUCCCAUGAAACUAAACUUUGAGGAUUCAUGUGCUACAUUAUCCGAAAGCAUAGAUUUUGAAACUAAGGUAAUGUGUGCUCUUGUGAAAUUUUCUGCUCUGAAUUUAGUUUCCAUUUUUUAUCUCUGUGUGGCGUUCAUUCAUGAAUUAUUGCCCCAAUGGUUUACUCUUUCUUUCUUGAAAGAAGCUGAAUUUAUUAAUUCAUUUUUUAAUGUUUACUGGGGUAAAUUUGAUUUAUAACACUGUAUAUAUUUUAGAGAUAUAGUUUCACACCUCAAAAAAUAUAAGUUAUACCACACCCACCAGUAAAGCCUCUAUAAUCCUGCACCAUAUUCACUGGGCCUCAUCUGCAUUUCACUUCCUUUCUGCCCCUCUGGUAGCCUGAGUUCUACAGCCACAGUUUAAGGGUUCAUUUUGGUUUGUUCUCUUACUUUGUUUCUUUAUUAAAUUCUACAGAUAAGUGAACUCAUCUAGUGUUAUCUUAUAAUCAUGAAAGAGAUCGAAAAAGAAUCAAAAUGAGAGAAAUUGUUAUAAAAACCUGACAGAUAUUGUGAGGUUGAGUGAGAGCAGGAAUUUUAUACCAUAAAAUUGGAUGAAAAUACUUUUUUAAAAAUGUAAAUUAAGAAAGCCAGGUAAUAAAAAACAAUGCUCAUGCUUUCCUGAAUUUCUUAAAAGUGAUUUUUAUGAGGAACUGAAAGAAAAUUAAUUUUUUUAUGCAAGUAACGGUUUCCAACAUUGUAUAUGAUUCAGGAGUACGGGUUCACGCCUCUCCAGAUGUAUGUUUCCACACCACACCAUCUAAAAUCCCAGCCGUCUAAAAUUACAAAAGACACAACACCAAGGCAUCCUCAGUCCUCCACCAGUCAGUGGUUCCCUUCCCCUUUGGUAGCCUCCUUUCUGAAGUCCAGUCUCCAGGGUUUGUUUUGGUUCAGUUUUAUCUUUUCCUUUGUUUUUUCUGUAGUCCACAUACCAGGGAAUCAAAUUGCUGGUAUUUGUUUUGUCUGUCACUUAUGUUGCUUAGCAUAAUUAAUCCAGUUCUACACGCACUUUCACUGAAAGAAAUCAACCCAUCCUUUUAAGUUUAGGUAAGUGGUAUCUGAUCUUUAAUGUAGCACUGCUGUAUUCGUUGGUAAUGCAAAGUGAAUUGUCUUUCAGGUCUCAACAGAUUUAUCUUGGGUUAUGAACUUUUGGCUCUUCUGUUUCUUCUGGUUUCUAGCUUAUCUUACAGUUUGUUAUACUUAAUUGAGGGAACUAUCUUCUCUUUGGGGUUGGUAUAGUCUUGGUGUAAAUGUUUUGAUCUUUUAGAAAAUAAAGAGAAGAA